GAUUCUUUUUGAGAAUGGGACCACCAUAUCUCACGUGAUCCUCUCGUGACUUUGGAGCUGGGCAGACCUAUUCCAAACUUGUUGCUCCUCCGCCGCAUACCUCUGUUUUGGACAAGAAGUGGAGUAUAGAAUGUGGGAUCAGUUUUAAGGAAUGUCUCAGACUCUCAGGCUGCUUUUAUCAGUGUUAAAGCUACUCAACAAGAACAAUGAGGGAAAGUUUUUAGAGAUCCGAUGACACCUAUCUCUAGUAGAAGACGCUACUUAGCUAUUUGUUAUACCCUUUCUAUGUGCCAUUGUUUGUUCUCUUUCUAAUUAUGGUGGAGCCAAGUAAUAUUUAGAAGCUUCCAAGAACUUAGGGGAUGCGGUGGUAGCCUGGAUUCCUUUAUUAAAAACUGUGUGGGUGAGUGCACUUCUCUCUGUCUUUGUGCGGAACCAGAAUCAGCUUCUGUGUUAUUGAUGGGUUAGGUUACCAGAUGCUUUGGGUAUUUGAUUCUCAUCUAAGUCUAACCACACUUUUAAUUAACAAAAAAGUGAAAAAUAAAGCUUCAUCUUUGUUUGGUUUGUUUAUCCACCAAAGUACUCUCUUUUACGGUGCUUCUUGGCUUGCUUUGGUUCAACCAAAAUGUCUUUA
This is a long non-coding RNA of Camelina sativa (false flax), 631 nucleotides long. RefSeq lists it as uncharacterized. The record is from RefSeq and is a predicted model, not a curated record. Lineage: Eukaryota; Viridiplantae; Streptophyta; Magnoliopsida; Brassicales; Brassicaceae.